GACGAACGCUGGCGGCGUGCUUAAUACAUGCAAGUCGAACGGAAAGGCCCUGCACUUGUGGGGUGCUCGAGUGGCGAACGGGUGAGUAACACGUGAGGAACCUGCCCUUUACUUUGGGAUAACUUCAGGAAACUGGGCUACUACCGGCUCAGAAGACCUUCUGGCAGGUGGGGGAUGGGAAGAUUCGGCGGUUGGGGAAGGGGGCGCGGCAUAUCAGCUUGUUGGGGGGGUUGUUGGGUUACACGGCCUUGACGGGGAGGCGGCCUGGGAGGGUGACCGGGCACAUUGGGACUGGGAUACGGCCCAGACGCAUACGGGAGGCAGCGGUGAGGAUUAUUGCACAAUGGGCGGAAGCCUGAUGCAGCAACGCCGCGUGCGGGAUGACGGCCUUCGGGUUGGAAACCGCUUUCGCCUGUAACGAAGCGUGAGUGACGGUAAUGGGUAAAGAAGCACCGGCUAACUACGUG
Molecule: ribosomal RNA, 467 nt
Filed under: uncultured bacterium
Lineage: Bacteria
Description: partial 16S ribosomal RNA
Rfam family: Bacterial small subunit ribosomal RNA
Source: RNAcentral